This is a long non-coding RNA of Acanthopagrus latus (yellowfin seabream), 329 nucleotides long. RefSeq lists it as uncharacterized. The transcript is spliced from 2 exons. The record is from RefSeq and is a predicted model, not a curated record. NCBI's taxonomy places the organism in Eukaryota, Metazoa, Chordata, Actinopteri, Spariformes, Sparidae.
CCCUGCUCAGUGGUUGUGUGUCUUUGGUGAGUCAAAGCCAUCAGUGGGCUCUCUGCAUUUCUGUUUGAGUGAAAAUCUGAGCUGAGUGUGUUUGACACAUUUCUUUUGGACAGUUUCCAUGUAUUUUGGCACUUUUCUGUACAUGAAGACCAGAUAUUGCAGACUUGCAGGUUAUAGACUCUGAAGGAGAUGUGGAUGAAGGUCAACCUGUGAUCAGUGUGCUGUACGCCAUCACACAGACCAGUGACUGUUCAGAUGCUGCUCUGUCAUCAAAACAGCAUCUGACAUACAGAAGGAUUUUAAUAAAGAAAUGAUUCAAACACACACAA